RNAcentral lists this ribosomal RNA (495 nucleotides) under uncultured bacterium. RNAcentral's name for it is "partial 16S ribosomal RNA". It matches the Rfam family "Bacterial small subunit ribosomal RNA", at positions 28 to 507 of the family's 1533-position model. The record is from RNAcentral.
GAUGAACGCUGGCGGCGUGCCUAAUACAUGCAAGUAGAACGCUGAAGGAGGAGCUUGCUCUUCUGGAUGAGUUGCGAACGGGUGAGUAACGCGUAGGUAACCUGCCUGGUAGCGGGGGAUAACUAUUGGAAACGAUAGCUAAUACCGCAUGACAACAGUUAUUGCAUGAUAACUGUUUAAAAGGGGCAACUGCUCCACUACCAGAUGGACCUGCGUUGUAUUAGCUAGUUGGUGAGGUAACGGCUCACCAAGGCGACGAUACAGAGCCGACCUGAGAGGGUGAUCGGCCACACUGGGACUGAGACACGGCCCAGACUCCUACGGGAGGCAGCAGUAGGGAAUCUUCGGCAAUGGACGGAAGUCUGACCGAGCAACGCCGCGUGAGUGAAGAAGGUUUUCGGAUCGUAAAGCUCUGUUGUAAGAGAAGAACGAGUGUGAGAGUGGAAAGUUCACACUGUGACGGUAUCUUACCAGAAAGGGACGGCUAACUACGUG